CGUAUAGUAAUGGAUCCCGAUUGAGCUGUAGCUGAUGACGUUGAAAGUAUAGCGCCUGCUCCUGCGCAAGGGGCAGUGCCAGUUGAUUCUCGGCCUACCUCAAGUAGCCAAGAGGGGAAGGCAAAGCAAGCCUUCUACCAAAUGAUGAACCUUGGUAUUUCUGCAAUUUAGCCAGGUAGUACCUUGGUAUUUCUGCAAUUUAACCAGGUAAGUUCAUAUGAACUAUAUUCUGUAUAAUCUUGAUUAAAGUGAAUUUGAUAUUGAAAGUAAAUUUUGAAAUGAAAGUGAGUUUGAAUGAAGAUUUGGAAACCUUAUUAACUAGUCGAGUUGAGUCGAAUAUAAUUGACAUGUCAUAGGAUUGGAAGAGUACGGGAAUUUAUCGGCUUUGCCAAUCAGUCACUAUAUGUGUCGUAUUAGGCACCACGUGUGUCGUUUCAGGCACUUUAUGUGUCGUAUACUGCUUCUGAUAUAUUGAUCAGGUACAAAGUACCGUUUUAGGCACAAUGUGCUGUACUGGUGUGUUUGGUUGGAAUCCGUGUAUUCGCCAAGGUCCGGGUUUAUGAAUAGGGUGAAUAAGCAAAAUGUGAGAAUUGAAUAAAUUUGAUUGAUCGUACGACUGAAAGUAUAAGGAAGAAAUUGUUAGUCAAAUUGUGAGAUU
Molecule: long non-coding RNA, 658 nt
Filed under: Gossypium raimondii (Peruvian cotton)
Lineage: Eukaryota; Viridiplantae; Streptophyta; Magnoliopsida; Malvales; Malvaceae
Description: long non-coding RNA (GRAI_LNC004967)
Source: RNAcentral